This 744-nucleotide long non-coding RNA is filed under the name Selaginella moellendorffii. Its description in RNAcentral is "long non-coding RNA (SMOE_LNC000259)". Lineage: Eukaryota; Viridiplantae; Streptophyta; Lycopodiopsida; Selaginellales; Selaginellaceae. The record is from RNAcentral.
UCAUUCUGAAAAAUGAGAAUUUUUGUGCUGCCACUACAAGUAUCAAAGUGGAUGGCUAUGUUUAUUGCACUAACUGUGGUUCACUCUCUCAGAAUGGCAUCUUCAGUAAGAAAAAUUAUCUAUCUUUUGUAAUUUUCUAAUCUUGUUAAAUCUUUCAGAUGCCAAGGUAAACCUGGUUUGUCCAGGAGACAGUCAUUCAUCAUUUACAAAUAGUAGAGGAUACUUUGAUAUCUUUGAAUUAGUGAAGACUGGAACAGAUAUUGGGAGUUGUCGAGUGAGUGUGGAUCCAAGUAGAGCACCCCGGGGGUGUUCUUUCUUAACAGACAUAAAUGGUGGAUCAAGUGGCCAAUCCUUAAGCACAUGCACCAAUAAUGGAAAUAAUAAGUUCACUUGUGGACCUUAUUAUUUUACUCCAAAUGCUUGUUCACCUCCACCACCACCAAGUUCUCCACCUCCACCACCACCUAGAAAACCACCACCACCACCACCUAGAAGACCACCACCACCCCCACCAAGAACACCUCCACCACCACCACCAACGACACCUCCUCCACCACCACCAACAUCUCCUCCACCACCACCACCAAGAACACCGCCACCACCACCACCAAGAACUCCUCCUCCACCACCACCAAGAACACCUCCACCACCACCACCAAGAACACCUCCACCGCCACUGCCAAGAACACCUCCACCACCACCACCAAGAACUCCUCCUCCCCCACCACCAAGAAAACCUCCACC